UGGGGAAUAUUGGACAAUGGGCCACAAGCCUGAUCCAGCAAUUCUGUGUGCACGAUGAAGGUCUUCGGAUUGUAAAGUGCUUUCAGUUGGGAAGAAGAAAGUGACGGUACCAACAGAAGAAGCGACGGCUAAAUACGUGCCAGCAGCCGCGGUAAUACGUAUGUCGCAAGCGUUAUCCGGAUUUAUUGGGCGUAAAGCGCGUCUAGGCGGAAAAAUAAGUCUGAUGUUAAAAUGCGGGGCUCAACUCCGUAUUGCGUUGGAAACUGUUUUUCUAGAGUACUGGAGAGGUGGGCGGAACUACAAGUGUAGAGGUGAAAUUCGUAGAUAUUUGUAGGAAUGCCGAUGGAGAAGUCAGCUCACUGGACAGAUACUGACGCUAAAGCGCGAAAGCGUGGGGAGCAAACA
This 405-nucleotide ribosomal RNA is filed under the name uncultured bacterium. RNAcentral's name for it is "bacterial SSU rRNA". It matches the Rfam family "Bacterial small subunit ribosomal RNA", at positions 355 to 774 of the family's 1533-position model. RNAcentral also lists the same sequence under 1 other name. The record is from RNAcentral.